RNAcentral lists this ribosomal RNA (522 nucleotides) under uncultured bacterium. RNAcentral's name for it is "bacterial SSU rRNA". It matches the Rfam family "Bacterial small subunit ribosomal RNA", at positions 40 to 518 of the family's 1533-position model. The record is from RNAcentral.
CGGCAUGCCUAAGACAUGCAAGUCGUACGAGGUGGCCCGUAGAGUUCUGUGCUUGCACAAACAAUAUGGAUCCCCACCUAGUGGCGAAAGGGUGAGUAACACGUGGGUUAUCUACCUCAGAGACUGGGAUAACUACUGGAAACGGUAGCUAAUACCGGAUGAUAUAUUAAAUGAUACGUUAUUUAAUAGUAAAAGGUGCCUUUAAAGCAUCACUUUGAGAUGAGCCUGCGACGUAUUAGCUAGUUGGUAAGGUAAUGGCUUACCAAGGCGACGAUGCGUAGCCGACCUGAGAGGGUGAUCGGCCACACUGGGACUGAGACACGGCCCAGACUCCUACGGGAGACAGCAGUUAGGGAUAUUCGUCAAUGGAGGAAACUCUGAACGAGCAAUGCCGCGUGAGUGAUUGACAGUUCUUUGGAUUGUAAAACUCUGUUGUUAGGGAAGAACGACUCGUAUAGGAAAUGAUACGGGAGUGACAGUACCUUUCAAGAAAGCUCCGGCUAACUACGUGCCAGCAGCUGC